UCCGGGAUGGUGUAAUGGUAGCACAAGUGACUCUGGAUCAUUCGGUCUGGGUUCGAGUCCUAGUCCCGGAGCCA
This 74-nucleotide transfer RNA is filed under the name Phascolarctobacterium succinatutens YIT 12067. RNAcentral describes it as "tRNA-Gln". It matches the Rfam family "tRNA". Rfam says of the family: Transfer RNA (tRNA) molecules are approximately 80 nucleotides in length. The record is from RNAcentral. RNAcentral also lists the same sequence under 5 other names. Lineage: Bacteria; Bacillati; Bacillota; Negativicutes; Acidaminococcales; Acidaminococcaceae.